CCACCUCUAAACCAUAUAUAUUCAUGUAUGGGACAAUAUAACAAAUAAGAUGAAAUAUAGGGGGAGUCCCUUGGGUCACCCCACCCCCUCCUGUUUGGGAAUUUGAAACCCGUUGAGAUCGCCAACCCUUAACCAUAUAUUUAUGUACGGGACAAUAUAACAAUUCAAAUGAAAGAUAGGGGAGUCCCUGAGGUCACCCUACCCCCAGUGGCGGAUCCAGAAAUUUUCAUAAGUGGGGGCCCGCUGACUGACCUAGGAGUCACGCUUCAGUGAUUCCCUAUAUAAGCAACCAAUUUUUUUCUCCAAAAAUGAGGGGGGGCGGGCCCCCUUCCACCCUAAAUCCUCUGCCUACCCCUACCUGUUUGAGAACUUGAAAACCGUUGAGAUCCCCACCCCUAAAUUAUAUAUAUUCAUAUGUAUGGGACAAAAUAACAAAUCAUUUACAUUUACUAUGGGCAGGUCAGUCAGACCUCACCUUUGAUCCCUGUUGUAGUGAACAGUUGUCUGAUUCGUGUCUCAUACCUUUUGUACUAUAGAACACAAAACUCAGUUUUCUUUCCAGGGAAACCAGUCCAUUCAUACUAUUACAUGUUCAUACUAAGUCAACUUGAACUUCUAGCAGUCAAAUAAAAC
Molecule: long non-coding RNA, 633 nt
Filed under: Mytilus galloprovincialis (Mediterranean mussel)
Lineage: Eukaryota; Metazoa; Mollusca; Bivalvia; Mytilida; Mytilidae
Source: RNAcentral